This 1242-nucleotide unclassified non-coding RNA is filed under the name Hevea brasiliensis (rubber tree). The record is from RNAcentral. Lineage: Eukaryota; Viridiplantae; Streptophyta; Magnoliopsida; Malpighiales; Euphorbiaceae.
CAACAGUUGGGGAAGACAUAAACUGACUUACCACACUAACGGCAUAAGCAAUGUCAGGACGAGUGACUGUAAGGUAGUUCAAUUUUCCUACCAAUCUCCUGUAUCUCUCUGGAUCUUCAAACAACUCACUAUCCCCUGCUAACAGUUGUAAAGUUGGAGUCAUUGGUGCACUACAAGGCUUUAGCACCUAAUUUUCCUGUCUCUGUCAAUAGAUCGAGGACAUAUUUUCUUUGAGACAAGAAAAUACCCUUCUUACUUCUCAUAACUUCGAUACCCAAGAAAUACUUUAACAAUCCCAAGUCUUUGGUCUGAAACUGAAGUCUUUGGUCUGAAAUUGGGUUUGGAGGAAGGUUUUAAGAGAUGAAAUACCUGCAGAGUCACUCCCAGUGAUGACAAUGUCAUCCACAUAGACUACCAAGAGAAUUAAGCCAGCCUCAGAUUGCCUAUAAAAUACUGAGUGAUCACACUUACUCUUUUGCAUACCAAAUUCCUGUACUGCUUCACUGAAUCUCCCAAACCAGGCCCUAGGACUUUGUUUCAAGCCAUAAAGAGACUUCCGAAGCCUACAAACUUUACCCAACUCCCCCUGAGCAACAAACCCAGGUGGUUGCUCCAUAUACACCUCCUCCUGAAGAUCACCAUGAAGGAAAGCAUUCUUGAUAUCCAAUUGGUGCAGGGGCCAAUCAUAUGUAGCUGCUAAAGAGAUAAACAAGCGAACAGAAGUAAGUUUAGCUACAGGAGAAAAAGUGUCAGAGUAAUCAACCCCAUAUGUCUGAGCAUAUCCUUUUGCUACAAGGCGUGCUUUUAACCUAGCCACAGAACCAUCAGGAUUUACCUUUACUGUAAAUACCCAUUUGCAACCAAUAGCUUUCUUACCAGAAGGCAAUAGUUCCCAUGUACCAUUAGCAUCUAAAGCCUCCAUUUCCUCUUUCAUAGCAUCACACCAGCCAGGAUGAGACAGUGCCUCAUCAAUAGUAUUAGGGAUAGGAACAGAGUCUAAAGAAGUAACAAAACACCGAGAACAAGAAGACAAUUGAUUAUAAGAAACAAAAGAAGAGAUAGGGUAAGUACAUGAACGUUUACCUUUACGAAGAGCAAUGGGUAAGUCUAGAUCAGAAUCAUGAUCAGUAUGAGGUACAGGAUCUCCCAACGAAGUAGCUGGUGGAGGAUCUGAGUCAGGAAUCUCCAAUCUCCUGGAAUAAACAUGAACAACGGGAGGUCGAGUAGGUCUAGAGACAGAAG